This 356-nucleotide long non-coding RNA is filed under the name Triticum aestivum (bread wheat). RNAcentral describes it as "long non-coding RNA (TAES_LNC003635)". Lineage: Eukaryota; Viridiplantae; Streptophyta; Magnoliopsida; Poales; Poaceae. The record is from RNAcentral.
CAUGUGUCUUGAGACUCCAGAUGAUGUAAAUUAAUUAGCAAACCAUUGUUCUAGUAACCUGGUUCACUCCCGCCAUCAUAACAUGCUUUGAAUCAUAUGGAAGGAGAUUUAGUCUCAUGAUGUAUUCAUGUGAGAGUUUACCUUAAGGAUCUGUGACUGAAACUGGCUCGGACAAACACACAAACACCUUGUGUGCAAAAAAUAACUGAGAACAUACACAAACACAUGCUCGUCGAAAUUUGAGGUGGAGGGCGGUGCAGAGGGGACGGCCAGGUCGCCGGCAAGUGCAACGACGCCCAGCUCGCGGUGGCUCUGGUCGAGCGGCGAGCGCAAGCCCUCCUGGGCGGCGCACAACA